This 151-nucleotide microRNA precursor is filed under the name Sorghum bicolor (sorghum). RNAcentral describes it as "pre miRNA MIR2118". It matches the Rfam family "MIR2118 microRNA precursor family". Lineage: Eukaryota; Viridiplantae; Streptophyta; Magnoliopsida; Poales; Poaceae. The record is from Rfam by way of RNAcentral.
GUGAGCCAGGAAAAGGAAGAAAGUUUCUAAGAGCACUAGGAAUAGGAACAUGAAGGAAAGCAUUAUUGUGUAUAUGGACAUUUGGUUUAAUGUUUUCCUGAUGCCUCCUAUUCCUAAGGCUCUUAGGUUCUCCUUCCCUUUCCAUAUGGCU